UUCCUGAUAGCUCAGAUGGUAAAGAAUCUGCCUGCAAUGCAGGAGACCUGGGUUCGAUCCCUGGUUUGGGAA
Non-coding RNA from Bos taurus (domestic cattle), 72 nucleotides. Lineage: Eukaryota; Metazoa; Chordata; Mammalia; Artiodactyla; Bovidae. The record is from Rfam.